This is a long non-coding RNA of Ixodes scapularis (black-legged tick), 163 nucleotides long. RefSeq lists it as uncharacterized. The transcript has 3 exons. The record is from RefSeq and is a predicted model, not a curated record. NCBI's taxonomy places the organism in Eukaryota, Metazoa, Arthropoda, Arachnida, Ixodida, Ixodidae.
CCCAUGAAUUAAUUUUCAAGAAUAAAGGUUCUGUAGUUCUCCAUAAGAACUUGAUUGCUCAGGAAGUUAGAGAUUGCUUUCCACGUGAAAGCUGGACAUGGACCACUAAUUAUAUUAAGAAUAGAGGUUCUGUAGUUCUCCAUGUGGACUUGAUUGCUCUGGA